GCAGAUGUAACAUGAAGGCAGAGAUGCAGGCUUCUGUCCGGUUUGCAGUUACCCAGGGGGCGUCUGCAGGUGUCAGAAUUUUCACAAAAGCAGCCUCUAAAUCUGGCACCCUGCCUGUAGUCUGCAGAGGCUCUGGGAGUGGAGCCCGGAUUGACAGGAAGCAUGAGUCAGCAGGAGCCGCGGACUUCAAGCCGGGCCGUUCUCGCGAGAUCGAGAAGCACUUCCGGAUCUGUUCCGCGCGGGGUUCGCGCGUGUCUCCUCGGACACUCACCUGCCCGCGCUUUGUCACCCCAGUUGCCAGCCUCAGAUCCCGGUGACUGCCAGCCUCCUCUCCCUGCCAAGUGAGCCGCCCUUACAGCUCCUCUGCCUGUAUCACCUGUUAAAAGACCGGCCUGCAAGCACAGAGCCUGUUGGGGACCCUUCAGCACGGCAGUGGGGACAGAGCUGAACUCGCUACCCAAGACUGAAUGAGCCUCCACCUGUCUUGUUGCAGAAGUUCAGAUUUAUGAGGGGAGCGUGGAACAGAACCGAAGCUCCCAGACUUCGGGUUGGCAUUCUGUAAACCUGAAAGGACCGUGCUCAUCCCUUUUAUUCCUAAGCCUCAUGGAGUACGGGGAGAUGAAUUUGGAAGAAUAUAUUUUAGGUUGACAAUGGGGAUUACGAGAGAGAGGAAGUGGCAGCGUGAUGUGGAGGGAGGACCUGCGAGUCAACCAAAAUAGAAGAGAAAAAUUUACCUGGACCUCAGUUGCUUCAUUGGAGAAAUGGAGUCAAAAUCCCUAUCUUAUUUUUGCCCCAGGGUUUGUGUGAAGAUUUCUCAAGAUGCCAUGAAGAGCUGUUUUGAAAAUGUUCAAGGCUCUGCCCAAAUACAUGCUGGUGGGAUUUGUCAUACGUGUAAAUGAUGCUUAUAAAUGAUGUGAUUUUGAGCAAACAGUUUUAUUGUCUGGGCCUAAUGAGGUUUCAUCAGUUUGGCAGGGAUGAUAAUAACGAACCUAAUUAAUAGCUGGAAGCCUUCCAGAUGAACUGCGGAAGUCACUCUGCCUGGAUUAAAUGUGUGGUCCUCAACCAGGACAACAUUCAAAGCCUGAGCUGCCGAGAAGCUGUGAAGUCACUCCCCUCUUCCACGCUCACCGACACGGCCUUUAAGGUAGCACUGUCGGGCCUGCCUGAGGGGCUGUCUCCUCUCACACACUCAUAUUUGAUCACGAGGAAAAGUAAAAAAAAAGUGCCAGCCCACAGGGGACAUGGACCCUGUAUCAGUUUCCCAGAGCUGUUAUAGCAAAUAACCACCAACCAGGUGGUUUAAAACAACACAAAGUUAUUCCCGCACAGUCCUAGAGGCCAGAAGUCUGAAAUGAAGGUGUCAGCAGGGCCCUGUCCCUCUGGAGAUUUCAGUGGAAGAACCCUUCCUUGUCUCUCCCUAGCUUCCUUGGCCUUCCUCGGUUGGUGGCAGUGUUGCUCCAUCUCUGAAGAGCAUUCUCUGUGUGCCUUCACUUGCCUUUUAAAAUUGAUUAAUUUCAUGGGAGGCUGAGGCAGGAGGAUCACCACGAGUUUGAGGCCAGCCUGGGUUACAUAAUGAGUUCAAGAAUAGCCUGAACCGCAUAGCGAGACCACAUGUCUCAAAAAAAUAAACCUAAACCACGGCCCCAACAAAUAAAUUGAUUAAUUAAAAUUUAAACUGAUACA
Molecule: non-coding RNA, 1683 nt
Organism: Heterocephalus glaber (naked mole-rat)
Lineage: Eukaryota; Metazoa; Chordata; Mammalia; Rodentia; Bathyergidae
Source: RefSeq, a predicted model, not a curated record